This 253-nucleotide ribosomal RNA is filed under the name uncultured bacterium. RNAcentral's name for it is "partial 16S ribosomal RNA". It matches the Rfam family "Bacterial small subunit ribosomal RNA", at positions 524 to 776 of the family's 1533-position model. The record is from RNAcentral.
UACGUAGGAGGCGAGCGUUGUCCGGAUUCAUUGGGCGUAAAGAGCGCACAGGCGGCUUGGUAAGUCGGAUGUGAAAUCCCGAGGCUCAACCUCGGGUCUGCAUCCGAUACUGCCCGGCUAGAGGUAGGUAGGGGAGAUCGGAAUUCCUGGUGUAGCGGUGAAAUGCGCAGAUAUCAGGAGGAACACCGGUGGCGAAGGCGGAUCUCUGGGCCUUACCUGACGCUCAGGCGCGAAAGCUAGGGGAGCGAACUGG